GGACCGGAGUGGACGCAUCACUGGUGUUCGGGUUGUCAUGCCAAUGGCACUGCCCGGUAGCUAAAUGCGGAAGAGAUAAGUGCUGAAAGCAUCUAAGCACGAAACUUGCCCCGAGAUGAGUUCUCCCUGAGACUUAGAGUCUCCUGAAGGAACGUUGAAGACGACGACGUUGAUAGGCCGGGUGUGUAAGCGCAGCGAUGCGUUGAGCUAACCGGUACUAAUGAACCGUGAGGCUUAACCUUACAACGCCGAAG
Molecule: ribosomal RNA, 254 nt
Filed under: Salmonella enterica
Lineage: Bacteria; Pseudomonadati; Pseudomonadota; Gammaproteobacteria; Enterobacterales; Enterobacteriaceae
Description: partial 23S ribosomal RNA
Rfam family: Bacterial large subunit ribosomal RNA
Source: RNAcentral